CUUAUAUUUUGUUAAAAUUACAUUAGUGCUCAAUAGAAUCAAAUCAAAUAGUUCAAGGGUUUAAUGGAGCACAUUUCAAUUGGAGAACUCAAUAGUGAAAACUCAACUUUAGUUUAAUGAAUUUUCCAUAAGCAUAUAAACAAAUCAUCAGUGAUAUAAGAUAGAACACUAUGCUUUGGCAAUAUCCCCAAGCAUACAAGGAACUUGAGGAUAAAAAAAGACCUUACCUCAUUAAAAUAUCGUAAGAG
RNAcentral lists this unclassified non-coding RNA (248 nucleotides) under Hevea brasiliensis (rubber tree). Lineage: Eukaryota; Viridiplantae; Streptophyta; Magnoliopsida; Malpighiales; Euphorbiaceae. The record is from RNAcentral.